RNAcentral lists this ribosomal RNA (274 nucleotides) under uncultured bacterium. Its description in RNAcentral is "partial 16S ribosomal RNA". It matches the Rfam family "Bacterial small subunit ribosomal RNA", at positions 523 to 796 of the family's 1533-position model. The record is from RNAcentral.
AUACGGAGGGAGCUAGCGUUGUUCGGAAUUACUGGGCGUAAAGCGUACGUAGGCGGAUUGACAAGUUGGGGGUGAAAUCCCAGGGCUUAACCCUGGAACUGCCCUCAAAACUAUCGAUCUAGAGACCGGGAGAGGUAAGCGGAAUUCCUAGUGUAGAGGUGAAAUUCGUAGAUAUUAGGAAGAACACCAGUGGCGAAGGCGGCUUACUGGACCGGUACUGACGCUGAGGUACGAAAGCGUGGGGAGCAAACAGGAUUAGAAACCCCAGUAGUCC